Molecule: ribosomal RNA, 334 nt
Filed under: uncultured microorganism
Description: bacterial SSU rRNA
Rfam family: Bacterial small subunit ribosomal RNA
Source: RNAcentral
GAGUUUGAUCGUGGCUCAGGAUGAACGCUGGCGGCGUGCCUAACACAUGCAAGUCGAACGGAGUUCUUAAGGAAUGCGGCUUCGGCCAAAUGACUUUUGAACUUAGUGGCGGACGGGUGAGUAACGCGUGAGCAACCUGCCUUUCAGAGGGGGAGUAACAUUUGGUAAACAGAUGCUAAUAACCGCAUAAGAUUACAGUACCGCAUGAUACAGUGAUCAAAGGAGCAAUCCGCUGAAAGAUGGGCUCGCGUCCGAUUAGAUAGUUGGUGAGGUAACGGCUCACCAAGUCGACGAUCGGUAGCCGGACUGAGAGGUUGAACGGCCACAUUGGGAC